Molecule: long non-coding RNA, 4496 nt
Organism: Gallus gallus (chicken)
Lineage: Eukaryota; Metazoa; Chordata; Aves; Galliformes; Phasianidae
Source: Ensembl
GAAAGCUGCUGCACCUCAGCAAACCUCUGUGGGGGUGAGUGGAGAUGAUAUUCGGAGCACUUUCCCCACCCGAAGCACCACCGAAGGUCACUUGCACGGCUCUCUGCAGUCAGUCAUCCUCAUCAAUCAGAGAGGCACUGCUCUGCUCCGCACUCAUUUAAACCGGGAUGUGUUUGCAUUUCUCAUUAAUUUGUCAGCUUCCAUUUGGGAAGCAUUCUUGCACAAUCAAUGGAAGUCAGCAGGGAGCUCUUUCACGAGAGCUUUAAUGCUUUUUGAUCCACUUAUGGGUGAGGUGCCUCAAAUAACACCUCCGUGCCGCCCAUCUCCGAUUUCCACCAACAGGUCAUCAGGCAAGCUGCUGGGAGAGGGAGGUCAUUACCCACCCAUGUCUCCGCUGGACGAGGAAUGGUGAGCAGGGCAACUGCACCCCAAACUGCUCCGGCACUCCCAGGGCCUCUGGAAAGAGCAUCGUAAGCAAGCAACUACACUGAAUGAUCUGCUUGCUGGCUUGGCAAGAAGACAUGCGUCCCUUCUGCAGGGCGCUUGCACAACUGUCAUCACAUCACGUGCCCGUCAGGCUGCAGCCAGCAGACAGAGCAGGUGCCUUAAUUUCCUGUUCUGAUUAUUUUUCUGAGUUUCCCAAGUAGAAACCAGAAGCAGAUUGCCGCUGCCAGCUGAGCUCUUCUCACCUUGGGCUGCAGCCUGCAGGCGUGCUGCUGACUGCACUGCCGACCGACCUCAGUUGACACCUCAGUUGCAGCCAGCAGUUGAGAAGAGGCACUGCAUCUGAUCCACCUGGAUUCAGGACGGCGCUCUCAGGCCAUUACAAUAAAACUAAAUAGUUUUAAAAGACACAGCGGUGCAGUCUGUCUUCUCACUUCCUCCUUUGCCUUCUCAGUAUGUCCCAGGCCGCAGAGCGCUGCGAUGCGCCGUAGGUGUGGACUGAUCUGUUACCCAGGGCCCAUACAUUCCUUAUGACAUUAUCACAUUAUGACUUGCAGGUACUUUGGGGGAAAGGUUUAGUUACGUUUUCUCAUCAUAUAUCUGCUGGCAAAGCUAAUCACAACUAAAAUCCUUGCUGUCGAUAUAAUGCCACUGGUUAUUGAUUACGUCUGGUUGUGCUUGUGGUCGGGUGUCUACUGCUAAUUUACAGAAAUUCAGAGACUAAAAAUAGGAAAUAAUUUACUGAUACUGCCCUUAAAGUUGUGUGGCAGGGGUAAGGCAGAGACUAUCUCGUAUGGUUUAAUUACUUCUGUAUACUCAUUUAGUGUCAGCGAGCACCGUGGAUGUUUCACACACAGAUUACACUUUCUUUACAGAGAGAGUGGUGAGGUGCUGGAACAGCUGCCCAGAGAGGCUGUGGAUGCCCCGUCCAUCCCUGGAGGUGUUCAAGGCCAGGUUGGAUGGGGCCCUGGGCAGCCUGGGCUUGUAUGAAAUGUGGAGGUUGGUGGCCCUGCCUGUGGUGGGGGGUUGGAGAUUCGUGAUCCUUGGGGUCCCUUCCAACCCAAGCCAUUCUGUGAUUCUGCUAUAGAUUCUAUUAUACUACGGAUUUUGGCUGCGUAAAUAUCUUGUGGCUAUCUGCCAGGAAGAUAUCUGGAGAAAUCAGUGUUGAUUGACGGACCGAAAAAAAUUUCUUUUAAAUGUUAGGAAAGACAAAUUCAUCCCGUAACUCGUUUGCAAUGAAUUAUUUGUCCCGCCCUGUCUCCAUACAGGUGAUGCUGCACAGCAGCACAGCACUCUAGGGAUGAUGACAGUCAGGAAAUGAGCUCUCUACAGCGUCGUCCAUGCGUAAAACUUUUACAGUUUAAUGAUAAGAGAUUCUGAAUUAUUGCUGGGCAGUUGAUUGAAAGUUGCUACACUUGUUUUCAAAACGUGGUAAGUAAAAAAUGAUGUGAUUUUGAAAAUGGAAAACUAUUGUAUGAAACUCUUUAGCACCAAGAGAGCUUCCUGGAUGAUGGCCAUAAGCUGCAUUUGUUCAAGUCAAUUCUGCAUUAAUCAGUGUGCCACGAAGAUUGUGCCCUAUGUUUUUUUAUUUAGUGGGUCAUAUAUUUUAAGAAGUGCCUUUAAGUGUUUUGAUGAAACACAUUAAAAAUCCACUGUAAUGCCUAGGUAGCUGACAGCGUUAAUAUAUAGCAGGUACAUUUGCCUUUGCAGUUUAAAUAAUCUGGAAGGGAUGCUUUAUUAUUUAUUCUUAAAUUUUAUCACCAAUGGUCUGUAAUAUAUGAAGACCAAAUUUACAGCACGUGUCCUCGAUACCUUCAAAAAUAUCAAUGAGUGUUCUCCCAUUACUCAACCACAAAAUCAGACUUUUAAAUGAAGUUUUCCACCAGGAAAUUAUAUCAGUGAUCCGCUGCACUUCUGCUCCAAGAGAGUGCAAACGAGCUGAGGAGGUCUUUUUGUUAGCACACGGACUGAAUGCACUGUAACAUGUGGCUGAAGCACAACGGUCAAGUCCCCGAGCAUCCUGAUUUUCUAAGUGCUCACAAGACUGGCACUUCUUUGGUAGCUUAUCUGGGAGGAAGUUUUUCCCCCAGAGGGUGGUGACGCAUUGGAACAGGUUGCCCAAGGAGGCUGUGGAUGCCCCAUCCCUGCAGGCAUUCAAGGCCAGGCUGGAUGUGGCUCUGGGCAGCCUGGUCUGCUGGUUGACAACCCUGCACACAGCAAUGGGGUUGGAACUGGAUGAGCAUUGUGGUCCUUUUCAACCCAGGCCAUUCUGUGAUUCUAUGACUCUAUGAUUCUACGAUUCUAAACAUCUUUGUGUCACAGAAUGCAACUGGUCGGGCAGCAGCAAGAUUCCCUUUGCACUGUCUGGUCUGGCGGCCCUGCUCCCACACACGCACACUGCGGCCUGGUGUCUUUCCUGCCCACAGAGCUCCGUAUCUACAUGGAUGAAGGAUUCAUGGCUCGAUCGUCCCUUUCAGAGUUAGGACAAGCACAUGGGAGCAGAGGGGCAUCCUCCUGGCUGUGUGUGAGAGGAAGACGAAGUGCAGAGCAGUGUACACAUGCUGCUUUCAGCAGGAAGGGCUCCCUGCAGCUCAGACGGGUACAUCUGGCAGCGCUCUCGGAGCGAAAAAAAAAAAAUAGCUGAAGCAGCAAUGGGAUGUGCUCCUCGAUCACCAUUCUGGUUGCCUCUUGGAAAACAGUGGCAACAACGGCGGUCGGUCGCCAUUUUCUCAGGCAGAAGCCCAGCCUGGCUCCUGCCGCGAGCGCGGCCUUGUUGGCAUCCCGGCACGGCGUCUGCAGGGCGAGCUCCUGCGGGGAGCAGGCCUGCUCCUGGGCCAGCAGAAGGGCUGAGCAGGAGCCCGCAGGCCCGGGGCCAGGAGGGAGGGACCCAGCUGUGCUUAUGAAUAUUUGCAAAAGGCACAGAGCUCAACGCCAAGGGCUGGCCUCACAUCGGCCGAGGUUCUGAGCGCGGCUUUUGUUUCACUGCGAGCCUAUCCAAGCUCAUUUGUCCGUUGCUAGUAAUUUGCCCAGUGGACCACGUCUCACAGGCCUGGGUCUUUAUUCAGGCUGCGUGCCCAGUGACCUCAGCACACUCUGUGCCAGGAUAAAGACUGCCUGAGGGCGGCAGGCUUGGGGCCGGAUACCUCGAAUGCCAUUCAGAUGUGAUUUCCAAUGUAAGAACCUCCGUUUUUCUUGAAUAAAAUCACGGGAGGACGGCAACUUCAGUGACGUGAUUCAAAACAGGCCCUUCUCUAAAGCAUCUGUGAGGCGGAGGGUGGAAAACGAACCCCCUGGAAGAAACAGGGACUGCGUAACGCUCGGGGAGUGGUCGGCGGGUAGAUGCAUGCCGGCGGCACUGCGAAGACACAGGGCUCAUUUAGCACUUGUCCCAGGCUGUGAGCAGGACCACACAAACACCGGCUGUCACAAACAUACAUCUACGGGAUGACGGCUCCGGUCUGUUACAUUCAGUGGCAUUCCGUGUGUUUUGCUGGGCCGCCGAUCCAAUGCAACAGCAUUAAAAUGCACCGGGGAGCAUUUCUUAGAUAGCAGAGGAGAAUAUGAGAGGGGCCUUUAUGAGGCUCUGCAUAGAAGUCCACUCGUGGGGCAUCUCCCCGAGCCCACACUGCCACUGCAGGUGGGUCAAGCCCCAGUCCUGGAGCGGACACACACACCAUUGAAGUCACUCAGCUGAUUUCGAAAGCCAUCCUCUCGGCUCAUCUGAAGUAUUCUGAUCUUACGUUACCACACGGCUCCAUACCACUCUCAGUGCCCAGCAUUUGCCUGGGGGCAUGCUGAGCUCAGGCUCCAUUUGCUAAAAGCAGAGGGAGCCCACAGUGUCCCCUCCAAGCUGUGGAUAGGGGCUGUGUAGAAACUGAGAUGCAGUGAGCUCCAUCUCUCUUAUCUUGACCAGCUCUGAAGUUGAAGCCUGCGGAGCUUUCUUGGCCUCCCAUCCAGGUCUGACCUGUCCUCUGAGAGUGUGAGGAUAUUUUUGGCUUUUUAGAAUAUACUGCACAGAUCACAGACCAGAAAAAUUACAGCUGGCAAUAAUC